CAGUAGCCGCGGUAAUACGAAGGGUGCAAGCGUUAAACGGAAUUACUGGGCGUAAAGCGUGCGUAGGCGGUUUGUUAAGUCUGUUGUGAAAUCCCCGGGCUCAACCUGGGAAUGGCAAUGGAUACUGGCAAGCUAGAGUGUGUCAGAGGAUGGUGGAAUUCCCGGUGUAGCGGUGAAAUGCGUAGAGAUCGGGAGGAACAUCAGUGGCGAAGGCGGCCAUCUGGGACAACACUGACGCUGAGGCACGAAAGCGUGGGGAGCAAACAGGAUUAGAUACCCCUGUAGUCCCUGUCUCUUAUAC
This 301-nucleotide ribosomal RNA is filed under the name uncultured bacterium. RNAcentral's name for it is "partial 16S ribosomal RNA". It matches the Rfam family "Bacterial small subunit ribosomal RNA", at positions 509 to 807 of the family's 1533-position model. The record is from RNAcentral.